UAUCAUGAUAUCUGAUAUAGAUAUCUUAGGUGGCUAUUAAAUUUAAAGUCUCUUGAUAUAUUAACUAUUCAAAAUUUUUACAAAUGUCAAACUAAAAUUACCAGAACCCUGUCUUUAUAAAUAUGAAGUAUAUGGAUUUGAAAAAGAAUUAAUGUGGCCGUUAAUAGCAGCGUAGCAACGGAAAGCAAUACUAA
Molecule: long non-coding RNA, 194 nt
Organism: Teleopsis dalmanni
Lineage: Eukaryota; Metazoa; Arthropoda; Insecta; Diptera; Diopsidae
Exons: 2
Source: RefSeq, a predicted model, not a curated record